UUUGGCAACAACAAAACAUGAAUUGUAGUCCCAAGUUUCCAUCACUUUAGAGGUAUCUUCAUCUCGCAGAUUUAAUAGACAACAAGCAGCACUGACAUGACUUUAAACAGAAUAAAAAUAUCUAUCUUCCAAUAAGAGAAACAAAUCUUCCAAGACUAAAAUGCCUUCACGGAUUACAGAAUACUGACCUUUUGGUAGGUGCCGAGGACCCAGCCCUUGGAAUUAACCGCAUUAUGAUGCAGCCCUUUCAUAAUCUGCAGCAGUGACCUGACCACGACUCGGACCUCGUUCUGCGGAGGGUUUGGUCCCAACAGUCGGCGGCUCUCCGAGAAGUCAGGUGACAUCUCUACAGGAUGUUUCAAGCUUCCACCCCUUCUGACAGCACGCAACACCAGGUCCGCUCGACGGAUGAGGAAACUCGUUCCCUCCUCCAAAUUAUUGCGGACCUGGGGGUUAUGGAUGAACUGGAUCGACUUGCCAAAGAAAUGCCACCAUUUUCACCAGUAUUACCAGUGCUCUGGCUGAACUUGGGCAAAACAGAACGCUCCUGCAGGUACGAGAUAAAUUCAAGAAACUGAAAUAUCUGUACCUGCAGGAGAGACAACGCCUGCAGUCCUCAGGUCAAAGCACGAGGUCCCAAUUUCAGUUCUGGGAGAAAAUGUACCGGUUAAUGGGUGACCGGCCAGUGGCAUCGGACCAUUUGCUGGAAUCUUCAUCCUCCCAGAUGUCCUGUGAAAUACCAGCCCCAUUAAUUGCACCAGCCAUCAUUUAUUUUUCUAAACUAAAAUAUGCUGCAAUUGUAAAACACAGAAAUCUAUAUUAUUAUUUU
Molecule: long non-coding RNA, 829 nt
Organism: Polyodon spathula (Mississippi paddlefish)
Lineage: Eukaryota; Metazoa; Chordata; Actinopteri; Acipenseriformes; Polyodontidae
Exons: 3
Source: RefSeq, a predicted model, not a curated record